RNAcentral lists this non-coding RNA (27 nucleotides) under Homo sapiens (human). The record is from RNAcentral. Lineage: Eukaryota; Metazoa; Chordata; Mammalia; Primates; Hominidae.
GCAGUUGAUAAAUUCUAUCAGGGUUGG